RNAcentral lists this ribosomal RNA (381 nucleotides) under Triticum aestivum (bread wheat). Its description in RNAcentral is "partial small subunit ribosomal RNA". The record is from RNAcentral. Lineage: Eukaryota; Viridiplantae; Streptophyta; Magnoliopsida; Poales; Poaceae.
AUGCAGAAACGGAACCUCUACCUCCGGUCCUCGCCCAGCCGCCGGGGAGCAGCGCGCCGGUGUUCGACCUGUCCUCCUCGUCGACCUACGGCCUCGUGGCCUGCCGGCUACCCUCGUGCCAGGCGAUCUACGGCACGUCCUGCGACGCCAACCAAUUCUGUCAGUACCAGUCCUCCUACGGCGACGGCUCCACCACGUCCGGCAUCCUCUCCACCGAGACCUUCUACUUCGACGACGCUCCCGGCGGCUGUCUUGGAUGCCGCGAGCGUCCGCAGCUGCAUCUGUCCAGGGUCAACUUCGGCUGCGCCACGAAAGCGACCGGCAACACGUUCCAGCUGGCCGGCUACGUCGGCCUUGGCGCCGGGAACGGCUCCCUCGUGA